GAUGAACGCUGGCGGCGUGCCUAAUACAUGCAAGUCGAGCGAACGGACGCUACGCUUGCUUCUCUGAUGUUAGGCGCGGACGGGUGUGUAACACGUGUAUACCCUACCUAUAAGACUGGUAUAACUUCGGGACACCGUAGCUUAUACCGUAUAAUAUUUUGAACCGCAUUGUUCAAAAGAGAAAGACGGUCUUGCUGUAACUUAUAGAUGGUUCCGGGCUGCAUUAGCUGGUUGGUAAGGUAACGGCUUACCACGGCAACGAUGCAUAGCCGACGUGAGAGGGUGAUCGGCGACACUGGAAGUGAGACGGCGUCCAGGCUCCUACGGGAGGCAGCAGUAGGGAAUGGUCCGCAAUGGGCGGAAGCAUGACGGAGCAACGCCGCGUGAGAGAUGAAGGUCUUCGGAGCGUAAAGCUCUGUUAUGAGGGAAGAACAUAUGUGUAAGUAACUGUGCACAUCGUGACGGUACCUAAUCAGAAAGCCACGGCUAACUACGUG
RNAcentral lists this ribosomal RNA (497 nucleotides) under uncultured bacterium. RNAcentral's name for it is "partial 16S ribosomal RNA". It matches the Rfam family "Bacterial small subunit ribosomal RNA", at positions 28 to 507 of the family's 1533-position model. The record is from RNAcentral.